This 497-nucleotide ribosomal RNA is filed under the name uncultured bacterium. RNAcentral's name for it is "partial 16S ribosomal RNA". It matches the Rfam family "Bacterial small subunit ribosomal RNA", at positions 28 to 507 of the family's 1533-position model. The record is from RNAcentral.
GAUGAACGCUGGCGGCGUGCCUAAUACAUGCAAGUCGAGCGAACGGACGAGAAGCUUGCUGCUUUGUUGUUAGCGGCGGACGUGGGAGUAACACGUGUAUAACCUACCUAUCACAGUGGGAUAACUUCGGGAAACCGGAGCUUAUACCGGAUAAUAUUUUGAUCCGCAUGGUUCAAAAGUGAAAGACGGUUUUUCUGUCACUUAUAGAUGGAUCCGCGCUUCGUUAGCUAGUUGUUAAGGUAACGGAUUACCAAGGCAACGAUGCAUAGCCGACCUGAGAGGGUGAUCGCCAGCGCUAGAGUUGAGACACCGACUAGUGUCCUACGGGAGGCAGCAGGAGGCAAUCAUACGCAACGGCCGGAAGUUUGACGGAGGAACGCCACGUGAGUGAUGAUGAUCUUCGGAUCGUGAAAAUCUGUUAUCAGGAGAGAACAUAUGUGGACGUAGAUGUGAAGAUCUUGACGGUACCGAGUCAAAAAGCCCCGGCUAAAUACGUG